CCUACGGGGGGCAGCAGUGGGGAAUAUUGCACAAUGGGGGAAACCCUGAUGCAGCGACGCCGCGUGAGCGAAGAAGUAUUUCGGUAUGUAAAGCUCUAUCAGCAGGGAAGAAAAUGACGGUACCUGAGUAAGAAGCUCCGGCUAAAUACGUGCCAGCAGCCGCGGUAAUACGUAUGGAGCAAGCGUUAUCCGGAUUUACUGGGUGUAAAGGGAGCGUAGACGGCAGCACAAGUCUGGAGUGAAAUCCCGGGGCUUAACCCCGGAACUGCUUUGGAAACUGUGCGGCUGGAGUGCAGGAGGGGUAAGCGGAAUUCCUAGUGUAGCGGUGAAAUGUGUAGAUAUUAGGAGGAACACCGGUGGCGAAGGCGGCUUACUGGACUGUAACUGACGUUGAGGCUCGAAAGCGUGGGGAGCAAACAGGAUUAGAUACCCGGGUAGUC
RNAcentral lists this ribosomal RNA (440 nucleotides) under uncultured bacterium. RNAcentral's name for it is "partial 16S ribosomal RNA". It matches the Rfam family "Bacterial small subunit ribosomal RNA", at positions 338 to 795 of the family's 1533-position model. The record is from RNAcentral.